This 467-nucleotide ribosomal RNA is filed under the name uncultured bacterium. RNAcentral's name for it is "partial 16S ribosomal RNA". It matches the Rfam family "Bacterial small subunit ribosomal RNA", at positions 28 to 506 of the family's 1533-position model. The record is from RNAcentral.
GACGAACGCUGGCGGCGUGCUUAACACAUGCAAGUCGAACGGAAAGGCCCUGCUUUUGUGGGGUGCUCGAGUGGCGAACGGGUGAGUAACACGUGAGUAACCUGCCCUUGACUUUGGGAUAACUUCAGGAAACUGGGGCUAAUACCGGAUAGGAUCUCCUGCUGCAUGGUGGGGGUUGGAAAGUUUCGGCGGUUGGGGAUGGACUCGCGGCUUAUCAGCUUGUUGGUGGGGUUGUGGCUUACCAAGGCUUUGACGGGUAGCCGGCCUGGGAGGGUGACCGGCCACAUGGGGACUGGGGUACGGCCCAGACUCAUACGGGAGGCAGGAGUGGGGAAUAUUGCACAAUGGGCGGAAGCAUGGUGCAGCAACGCCGCGUGCGGGAUGACGGCCUUCGGGUUGUAAACCGCUUUCGCGUGUGACGAAGCGUGAGGGACGGUAAUGGGUAAAGAAGCACCGGCUAACUACGU